AUAGCACUUGUUUUACCAUUCUAAAUUAGCAGCAGAAUAAUUAUUCUAUUCUACCCUUUUCCAUUAUACAUCAUCCAUCUCUCUUCUUCUCCUUCAAGCCAAUAACAAAGAAGAUGAAGCAAGAGAACACAAGCUUCUGUAACAGGCACGUGAGAGACCCCUGCAGAUCAUUCGGCCGGAAAUGCAGUAGGCUAGUUAAAGAUCAGAGGGCCAGGUUCUACAUUCUCCGGCGGUGUAUUAUCAUGCUAGUUUGCUGGCAUGAAUACGGUGACCCUUAAAUAUAUAUAUAUACACACACCUCUUCAGCUUUCCUAUAUACUUUCCUUUUUUCUUCUUUAUUAGCCAUUCCCAAUAUGCUUGAUAGUGUAUGUAUUGCUAUACACAUAUGAUGAUGAGAUAGUGAGGAGUUUUUUUCGGAUUAUUUUCUUCUUCUUUUCUUUUUUACUCAUUUUUUAUUUAAUUUUCAUCAAUUUGUAUUCAUAUUUCGUGUCAUAUAAUUUAUUUAAUUAACUGGACAAGUUAGUAAAAAAUCAUCUCUGAAGGCGAAAU
Molecule: unclassified non-coding RNA, 549 nt
Filed under: Hevea brasiliensis (rubber tree)
Lineage: Eukaryota; Viridiplantae; Streptophyta; Magnoliopsida; Malpighiales; Euphorbiaceae
Source: RNAcentral